UGGAACCCAUCCGAGGUUCCGGGCUGCGGGC
Molecule: small RNA, 31 nt
Filed under: Bombyx mori (domestic silkworm)
Lineage: Eukaryota; Metazoa; Arthropoda; Insecta; Lepidoptera; Bombycidae
Description: piRNA piR-bmo-1884333
Source: RNAcentral